ACCAUGGAGGAGGCCUAACACAUGCAGUCGAACGGUAACAGGAAGUGCUUGCACUUCGCUGACGAGUGGCGGACGGGUGAGUAAUGCUUGGGAACUUGCCUUUGUGAGGGGGAUAACAGUUGGAAACGACUGCUAAUACCGCAUAAUGUCUACGGACCAAACGGGGCUUCGGCUCCGGCGCAAAGAGAGGCCCAAGUGAGAUUAGCUAGUUGGUAAGGUAAAGGCUUACCAAGGCAACGAUCUCUAGCUGUUCUGAGAGGAAGAUCAGCCACACUGGAACUGAGACACGGUCCAGACUCCUACGGGAGGCAGCAGUGGGGAAUAUUGCACAAUGGGGGAAACCCUGAUGCAGCCAUGCCGCGUGUGUGAAGAAGGCCUUCGGGUUGUAAAGCACUUUCAGUUGUGAGGAAAAGUUAGUAGUUAAUACCUGCUAGCCGUGACGUUAACAACAGAAGAAGCACCGGCUAACUCCGUGCCAGCAGCCGCGGUAAUACGGAGGGUGCGAGCGUUAAUCGGAAUUACUGGGCGUAAAGCGCACGCAGGCGGUUUGUUAAGCUAGAUGUGAAAGCCCCGGGCUCAACCUGGGAUGGUCAUUUAGAACUGGCAGACUAGAGUCUUGGAGAGGGGAGUGGAAUUCCAGGUGUAGCGGUGAAAUGCGUAGAUAUCUGGAGGAACAUCAGUGGCGAAGGCGACUCCCUGGCCAAAGACUGACGCUCAUGUGCGAAGGUGUGGGUAGCGAACAGGAUUAGAUACCCUGGUAGUCCACACCGUAAACGCUGUCUACUAGCUGUUUGUGACUUUAAGUCGUGAGUAGCGAAGCUAACGCGAUAAGUAGACCGCCUGGGGAGUACGGCCGCAAGUUAAAACUCAAAUGAAUUGACGG
Molecule: ribosomal RNA, 883 nt
Filed under: uncultured marine bacterium
Lineage: Bacteria
Description: bacterial SSU rRNA
Rfam family: Bacterial small subunit ribosomal RNA
Source: RNAcentral